Molecule: ribosomal RNA, 403 nt
Filed under: bacterium
Lineage: Bacteria
Description: partial 16S ribosomal RNA
Rfam family: Bacterial small subunit ribosomal RNA
Source: RNAcentral
UGGGGAAUAUUGCACAAUGGAGGGAACUCUGAUGCAGCGACGCCGCGUGAACGAAGAAGGCUUUCGAGUCGUAAAGUUCUUUUAUAUGGGAAGAUAAUGACGGUACCAUAAGAAAAAGCCCCGGCUAACUACGUGCCAGCAGCCGCGGUAAUACGUAGGGGGCUAGCGUUGUCCGGAAUCACUGGGCGUAAAGGGUUCGGAGGCGGAAAUGCAAGUCAGGUGUAAAAGGCAGUAGCUUAACUACUGUAAGCAUUUGAAACUGCAUAUCUUGAGAAGAGUAGAGGUAAGUGGAAUUUUUAGUGUAGCGGUGAAAUGCGUAGAUAUUAAAAAGAAUACCGGUGGCGAAGGCGACUUACUGGGCUCAUUCUGACGCUGAGGAACGAAAGCGUGGGUAGCAAACAGG